CAUAGCGACUAUCGUGGCAUAUCAAUAAGCGGAGGAAAAGAAACUAACAAGGAUUCCCUUAGUAACGGCGAGUGAAGCGGGAAGAGCUCAAAUUUGAAAUCUUCAAGGUUCUACCUUGACGAAUUGUAGUUUAUAGAAGUGUUUUCUGUUAGUAGAGUGGCAAAAGUUCUUUGGAAUAGGGCAUCAUAGAGGGUGAGAAUCCCGUAUUUGGUCAUUCUUUCUAGCUUUGUGAUACACUUUCAACGAGUCGGAUUGUUUGGGAAUGCAGUCCAAAAUGGGUGGUAAAUUUCAUCUAAAGCUAAAUAUUGGCGAGAGACCGAUAGCGAACAAGUACCGUGAGGGAAAGAUGAAAAGAACUUUGAAAAGAGAGUUAAACAGUACGUGAAAUUGUCAAAAGGGAAGCGUUUGACACCAGUGUUGUUUUUCCGAAAAUCAAUUACGAAUGUUUUAUUUUUGAGAAGUUAUGACUUCAUCGGCUUGCUCUCUUCUUUAUGAAACUUUCUUAAUGCACUUUUCGGUUAACAAGUCAACAUCAAUUUCUUUUGUUGUAAAAGGGUAUGAGGAAGGUGGCUUUCUUUUCGGAGAAAGUGUUUAUAGCCUUGUACCUCUGCAAUCGGAGAGAUUGAGGUCUGCAGCGUAGAUCCUUCGGGGUUAGAUACAUUUGUGCUAAGUUAUAGCUUUUCAUAGACAACUUGUUGACUAUGUUUAGUCUUGUAGCUUACUCGCUUAUGCUAUUUUACCUACGCUUAGGAUGUUGAUAUGCAUGACUGAUA
Molecule: ribosomal RNA, 773 nt
Filed under: uncultured Neocallimastigales
Lineage: Eukaryota; Fungi; Neocallimastigomycota; Neocallimastigomycetes; Neocallimastigales
Description: partial large subunit ribosomal RNA
Rfam family: Eukaryotic large subunit ribosomal RNA
Source: RNAcentral